Molecule: ribosomal RNA, 856 nt
Filed under: uncultured bacterium
Lineage: Bacteria
Description: bacterial SSU rRNA
Rfam family: Bacterial small subunit ribosomal RNA
Source: RNAcentral
CGGAGAGUUUGAUCCUGGCUCAGGACGAACGCUGGCGGCAUGCCUAAUACAUGCAAGUCGAACGAACCAUCCUGAAGAUUGAAGCUUGCUUCAUGAUUCAGACCUUGGUGAGUGGCGGACGGGUGAGUAACACGUGGGUAACCUGCCCAGAAGUGGGGGAUAACAUUUGGAAACAAGUGCUAAUACCGCAUAACAACUUAGAUCACAUGAUCUUUGUUUAAAAGAUGGUUUUGCUAUCUCUUCUGGAUGGACCCGCGGCGUAUUAGCUAGUUGGUGAGGUAAUAGCUCACCAAGGCGAUGAUACGUAGCCGACCUGAGAGGGUAAUCGGCCACAUUGGGACUGAGACACGGCCCAAACUCCUACGGGAGGCAGCAGUAGGGAAUCUUCCACAAUGGACGAAAGUCUGAUGGAGCAAUGCCGCGUGAGUGAAGAAGGUUUUCGGAUCGUAAAACUCUGUUGUUGAAGAAGAACAUAUGUGAGAGUAACUGUUCACGUACUGACGGUAUUCAACCAGAAAGCCACGGCUAACUACGUGCCAGCAGCCGCGGUAAUACGUAGGUGGCAAGCGUUGUCCGGAUUUAUUGGGCGUAAAGAGAAUGUAGGCGGUUUAUUAAGUUUGAAGUGAAAGCCCUCGGCUCAACCGAGGAAGUGCUUCGAAAACUGGUAAACUUGAGUGCAGAAGAGGAAAGUGGAACUCCAUGUGUAGCGGUGGAAUGCGUAGAUAUAUGGAAGAACACCAGUGGCGAAGGCGGCUUUCUGGUCUGUAACUGACGCUGAGAUUCGAAAGCAUGGGUAGCAAAACAGGAUUAGAUACCCUGGUAGUCCAUGCCGUAAACGAUGAGUGCUAAGUGUUGG